UACGUAGGGAGCAAGCGUUGUCCGGAAUCAUUGGGCGUAAAGCGCGCGUAGGUGGCCCCGUAAGUCCGCUGUGAAAGUCAAAGGCUCAACCUUUGAAAGCCGGUGGAUACUGUGGGACUAGAGUACGGAAGAGGCGAGUGGAAUUCCUGGUGUAGCGGUGGAAUGCGCAGAUAUCAGGAGGAACACCGGUGGCGAAGGCGGGUCUCUGGGCAGUAACUGACGCUGAGGAGCGAAAGCGUGGGGAGCGAACAGG
This 253-nucleotide ribosomal RNA is filed under the name uncultured bacterium. RNAcentral's name for it is "partial 16S ribosomal RNA". It matches the Rfam family "Bacterial small subunit ribosomal RNA", at positions 524 to 776 of the family's 1533-position model. The record is from RNAcentral.